This 774-nucleotide ribosomal RNA is filed under the name uncultured Neocallimastigales. RNAcentral describes it as "partial large subunit ribosomal RNA". It matches the Rfam family "Eukaryotic large subunit ribosomal RNA", at positions 22 to 628 of the family's 3401-position model. Lineage: Eukaryota; Fungi; Neocallimastigomycota; Neocallimastigomycetes; Neocallimastigales. The record is from RNAcentral.
GUACACGCUGUGACUAGCAUAUCAAUAAGCGGAGGAAAAGAAACUAACAAGGAUUCCCCUAGUAACGGCGAGUGAAGCGGGAAGAGCUCAAAUUUGAAAUCUUAAAGGGUUUCCCUUUACGAAUUGUAGUUUAAAGAAGUGUUUUCUGUUGAGGUUUUGGUAAAAGUUCUUUGGAAUAGGACAUCAUAGAGGGUGAGAAUCCCGUAUUUGACCUUUACUUUCAACUUUGUGAUACACUUUCAAAGAGUCGGAUUGUUUGGGAAUGCAGUCCAAAGUGGGUGGUAAAUUUCAUCUAAAGCUAAAUAUUGGCGAGAGACCGAUAGCGAACAAGUACCGUGAGGGAAAGAUGAAAAGAACUUUGAAAAGAGAGUUAAACAGUACGUGAAAUUGUCAAAAGGGAAGCGUUUGACACCAGUGUUGUUUUUCUGAAAAUCAAUUAAAGAACUGUUUAUGCUAAGCUGUUUAGACUUUAUCAGCUAUCUGUUUAGUUUUGAGCUUUUCUUUAAUGCACUUUUCAGUUAACAAGUCAACAUCAGUUUCUUUUGCUGUAAAAAAGCUUGAGGAAGGUGGCUUGAGAUUCGUCUUAAGUGUUUAUAGCCUCUUGCCUAUGCAGUCGGAGAGAUUGAGGUCUGCAGCGUAGAUCCUUCGGGGCUAAAUGCAUUUGUGCUAAGUUAUAGCAUUUUAUAGACAACUUGUUGACUAUGAUUUGUCUUGUAGCUUACUCGCUUAUGUUAUUUUACCUACGCUUAGGAUGUUGAGUCGUAGAGCACGCAG